This 264-nucleotide ribosomal RNA is filed under the name uncultured bacterium. RNAcentral's name for it is "partial 16S ribosomal RNA". The record is from RNAcentral.
CUGCUGCCUCCCGUAGGAGUUUGGGCCGUGUCUCAGUCCCAAUGUGGCCGGUCGCCCUCUCAGGUCGGCUACUGAUCGUCGGCUUGGUAGGCUUCUACCCCACCAACUACCUAAUCAGACGCGGGCCCAUCUUACACCACCUCAGUUUUUACCACUGUACCAUGCAGUACCGUGGUCUUAUGCGGUAUUAGCAAUCAUUUCUAAUUGUUAUCCCCCUGUGUAAGGCAGGUUGCCCACGCGUUACUCACCCGUCCGCCGCUAAGU